UCUCCGUUGGUGAACCAGCGGAGGGACCAUUAUCGAGUUUAUUACUCCCAAACCCUAUGUGAACUUACCACUUGUUGCUUCGGCGCGCGCUUCGGCGCCGCCGAGGACACUUAAACUCUUUGUUUUUAUAAGCAUUUCUGAGUGGCCGAAAGGCAAAAUACAAAUGAAUCAAAACUUUCAACAACGGAUCUCUUGGUUCUG
RNAcentral lists this unclassified non-coding RNA (201 nucleotides) under plant metagenome. RNAcentral describes it as "partial contains small subunit ribosomal RNA, internal transcribed spacer 1, and 5.8S ribosomal RNA". The record is from RNAcentral.